RNAcentral lists this ribosomal RNA (327 nucleotides) under uncultured eukaryote. RNAcentral's name for it is "partial 18S ribosomal RNA". It matches the Rfam family "Eukaryotic small subunit ribosomal RNA", at positions 1470 to 1796 of the family's 1831-position model. The record is from RNAcentral.
CCCUUAGAUGUUCUGGGCCGCACACGCGCUACACUGAAGGAGGCAGCGUGUACUCCUGGAUCGAAAGAUUUGGGUAACCCGCGAAUCUCCUUCGUGCUAGGGAUUGAGGUUUGCAAUUAUCCUUCAUGAACGAGGAAUUCCCAGUAAGUGCAAGUCAUAAGCUUGCGCUGACUACGUCCCUGCCCUUUGUACACACCGCCCGUCGCUACUACCGAUUGAAUGAUUUAGUGAGGACUUCGGACUGAGUCCAAUGCGGCUUUCGGGCUGCGUUGGUAUUUCGGAAAGAUGUCCAAACUGUAUCAUUUAGAGGAAGUAAAANUCGUANCA